GACGAACGUUGGCGGCGUGCUUAACACAUGCAUGUCGAACGGAAAGGCCCUGCUUUUGUGGGGUGCUCGAGUGGCGAACGGGUGAGUAACACGGGAGUAACCUGCCCUUGACUUUGGGAUAACUUCAGGAAAAUGGGGGUAAUACCGGAUAGGAGCUUCUGCUGCAUGGUGGGGGUUGGAAAGUUUCGGCGGUUGGGGAUGGACUCGCGGCUUAUCAGCUUGUUGGUGGGGUAGUGGCUUACCAAGGCUUUGACGGGUAGCCGGCCUGCGAGGGUGACCGGCCACAUUGGGACUGAGAUACGGCCCAGACUCCUACGGGAGGCAGCAGUGGGGAAUAUUGCACAAUGGGCGGAAGCCUGAUGCAGCAACGCCGCGUGCGGGAUAACGGCCUUCGGGUUGUAAACCGCUUUCGCCUGUGACGAAGCGUGAGUGACGGUAAUGGGUAAAGAAGCACCGGCUAACUACGUG
RNAcentral lists this ribosomal RNA (468 nucleotides) under uncultured bacterium. RNAcentral describes it as "partial 16S ribosomal RNA". It matches the Rfam family "Bacterial small subunit ribosomal RNA", at positions 28 to 507 of the family's 1533-position model. The record is from RNAcentral.